AUUUACUCUGUCUCUUGACACAGUUACGCUAUUUCGUGAUUGAGCAACGCUGAACUUAUCCACUACAAGCCGAUCGGAUUAUUUUAACCGGGACAAAAUUUGUAGGAGAGAAUAUUCCUGAAAGCUGCUUCUAUAUGUCGGGAUUGACAAGUAAUCCUCACCCGAAUGCUGGGGCAUAUAUGUGUUCAGGAGGUUACGUAAUACAUAGUAAAUAGUCACGCUAUUGAAACACACAAUAAGCAUCGAUCGGCUGAGAAAUCGUCCAAUAACACAAAGUAAAAUUUGCGCCCGCAAUCCUGGCCACCAUGGGACACCAUUUUUUUGCAUUCAAUGUUCCACAAAUAAAAACAACGUUAAACAAUACAAAAAAAAAUUU
Long non-coding RNA from Cephus cinctus (wheat stem sawfly), 376 nucleotides. RefSeq lists it as uncharacterized. NCBI's taxonomy places the organism in Eukaryota, Metazoa, Arthropoda, Insecta, Hymenoptera, Cephidae. The transcript is spliced from 2 exons. The record is from RefSeq and is a predicted model, not a curated record.